CUGGAAUGAGAGGCAGGACAAUGCUAGGCAAGUUACCAUAACUUACCUUCUCGUAAUAUUACAGGUAAUAAUUACAGAUAUAAAAUUGUAUUCAUGCCCUGGAGCUCACCAUGUGGAAACUCCUGCUACUUAGAAAGAAAUUCUCCUCAUCAGUAAUUGAAGGUCUUAGAAUAUUGUCUGGGGUACUGAUGACCCUAACCACGCAAACAAUGUCAGAGAGAAGGAAACUGAGGCCCAGAGAAGUGAAAUGACUUGGCAAAGAUCGAACUGGCAGUGAGUAGGAUAUAAUCCAGGUCACCUAAAUGUAAACCCAGCACUUCUUCAUUGUUCUGGAUUUCUCGACACCUACUUUUUAGUACUGCUACAAUCCAAAAAGAAAAGAAAAGAAAACAGCAUGGGCCCGUGGAAAGAGUGAGUACUUGAAGACACAACGUGAGUUUGAAUCAACUCUAUCAAUUGCUCCUUGCAAGAUGUUGGGCAAGUCACUUCACUUUCAGAGUCUCAGGUUUCUCAUAUGUGAAAUGAGAGUUUUGAAUGCGGGAAGGAGUGGAAGGGAGAAAGGGUUUAGGAUUGAAAGACAGAAAAAGACAGAGGG
Non-coding RNA from Phascolarctos cinereus (koala), 595 nucleotides. The record is from RefSeq and is a predicted model, not a curated record. Lineage: Eukaryota; Metazoa; Chordata; Mammalia; Diprotodontia; Phascolarctidae.